GAUUGUUGAAGUGCACAUAUAUUUGUGCAAAAUAGCCUUUGAUGUUAGUGGUGUAGUGACAUGGUAUAUCGAAUUAAUGUUGAGUAUAAAUGAUGGUUGGUCUAGUAAGAGGGUGUUGUUUGAAUUUCAAGAUCCAGAAUCUUACUCGAUGUACUCGGUGGGUUAAACAUGUGUUGGAGUUUUCAUCUGAGAUUGAUAAUGUUUCUUAUAGUAAACAUGUGGUAGUCAUCCUUUAGAUUGGUAGUAUUUGACGAUGGCAAUGUAAGUACUCUGUAUGUAACACCAAUGAUAAUGUAAAAAUAAUGAAGUAUGUAGAUCUUUUUUGUUUUUAUAACGUGGCCGUGGUAUGUGUUUU
Molecule: long non-coding RNA, 355 nt
Organism: Lactuca sativa (garden lettuce)
Lineage: Eukaryota; Viridiplantae; Streptophyta; Magnoliopsida; Asterales; Asteraceae
Source: RefSeq, a predicted model, not a curated record